This 749-nucleotide ribosomal RNA is filed under the name uncultured Pelagibacteraceae bacterium. Its description in RNAcentral is "bacterial SSU rRNA". It matches the Rfam family "Bacterial small subunit ribosomal RNA", at positions 43 to 840 of the family's 1533-position model. The record is from RNAcentral. Lineage: Bacteria; Pseudomonadati; Pseudomonadota; Alphaproteobacteria; Candidatus Pelagibacterales; Candidatus Pelagibacteraceae.
CACGCCUAACACAUGCAAGUCGAACGAAGUAGCAAUACUUAGUGGCAGACGGGUGAGUAACAUGUAGGUAUCUGCCCUAUGGCCUGGAAUAACACGAGGAAACUUGUGCUAAUACCGGAUAAGUCUUUACAGAGAAAGCUUUAUGCACCAUUGGAUGAGCCUGCACUUGAUUAGUUUGUUGGUGGGGUAAUGGCCUACCAAGACUGUGAUCAAUAGCUGAUUUGAGAGGAUGAUCAGCCACAUUGGGACUGAGACACGGCCCAAACUCCUACGGGAGGCAGCAGUGGGGAAUCUUGCACAAUGGAGGAAACUCUGAUGCAGCGAUGCCGCGUGAGUGAAGAAGGCCUUUGGGUUGUAAAGCUCUUUCGUCGGGGAAGAAAAUGACUGUACCCGAAUAAGAAGGUCCGGCUAACUUCGUGCCAGCAGCCGCGGUAAUACGAAGGGACCUAGCGUAGUUCGGAAUUACUGGGCUUAAAGAGUUCGUAGGUGGUUGAAAAAGUUGGUGGUGAAAUCCCAGAGCUUAACUCUGGAACUGCCAUCAAAACUUUUCAGCUAGAGUAUGAUAGAGGAAAGCAGAAUUUCUAGUGUAGAGGUGAAAUUCGUAGAUAUUAGAAAGAAUACCAAUUGCGAAGGCAGCUUUCUGGAUCAUUACUGACACUGAGGAACGAAAGCAUGGGUAGCGAAGAGGAUUAGAUACCCUCGUAGUCCAUGCCGUAAACGAUGUGUGUUAGACGUUGGAAAUUUAUUUU